Molecule: long non-coding RNA, 1941 nt
Organism: Papaver somniferum (opium poppy)
Lineage: Eukaryota; Viridiplantae; Streptophyta; Magnoliopsida; Ranunculales; Papaveraceae
Exons: 4
Source: RefSeq, a predicted model, not a curated record
ACAUCUUACUUGCACCUUUCAUAGGUAAUGAACCGUCUCCCCCACGCCCUUCCUUCCACCGAGAGAACUACCCAUGAUUACCCCCACUUCCUCCCAUCAACAAAAUUAACCCAGCAAACAACCUCCUGAGAGAAAGGAUGAAGAAGCCGGAUGUGAGCUAUGCUCAUGGACAACUGAAUAUCCAGAAAGGUUAAUUACCAUACAAAAAAAAAAUAAAUCUAAAAGUGGAUAAAGAAAGAUGUUGUCCAACUGGAGGAAUAAAGACAAAGCAGGGAUCUUUACAUCUGAAAAUGGUUUUCCUCAAGAUGAAAAAAGCUGAUGUGAACCUACAAUAGACAAACAGUUCAGUUUCAAAUGAAGGUGGAAUUGGUAUUCCUCAAGAUGAUCUCGAUCAUUUCUAGAAUUCAGAGUUAUGUUAAAUUGAGAUCAUAUGUUAAAUUGAGAUCAUUCUUUGAUUAAUAUAUUGUUUGGAAAAGGAGUCUACUGUGCUGAUAAGGUGAGAAAGAGCGGGAAGUCUCCUUGGAAUAGGUCUAUGAUCUCAAGAAAGCUUCUGUGAGAGAAUUGAUCCUGUAAAUUGUCAUCUAUCUUUAUUUGUGUUCAUGUGUUUCACAUUUACAGGAGUACAUGUAAGCACUCAGUUCUUACAGGCAUGUAUGUGUUUUCACAUGUUUUUGAUGGGAUCUUUGAUUUCUUUCCAAGGUGGAACAAGUGAUGACUUGGAUGUUCCCACCUUUUGUGCUGAAUUUGCAAAGGAACAUGAAGUUUGUCUAUUUGAUGGAGUUAACAAAUUCACUACCAAUUGAGUAGACUGUUGUUUUCCUCUGUGAUCAUCAUCAGCUGUGCAUACAAAUGGAAAAUGAAAUGGGGUCCUUCCCAUAUCUCUGAACUAUACUAAUCAACUUUUAUUUCUCUGUUUGUUUUCAGUUAACUUGAAAUUGUCUGAAAAUGAGCAGACAAUUAUGAUUCCAUGGUUAAUGAAUAUUUGUUCUUUUUUCUCAUUUUCUUACUUUACAAUCAAAUACUAGCAUUUUUUGAUAUGUAAUGGUUUGGUUCAUUAAGUAUUUUCUGUGGCUUCGAAUUUUGAAAUGUUUUAAUAAAGGUCUAAGAUUUUGAAAUGUUUUGGCUGUUACUGCCUGCUGAUUAGAGUUUCGACUAACACUAUCAGAUGUUGAACCAGUUUGGUAAUCUCACUUCUAUUGGUUGUUUCUUAUGCUAGAUAAUCAAUGUUUCUAUAUAUUUACUUUUGGUUUUAUUGAUGCAAUAUCAUCACACAACGGAGUUUUUUUUUGUUGUGAAGUUGCUCUUACAGAUCAUGCUGCUUCAGUGAUGGAAUAUCAUUACACAAGGACGCCUUAACAGGGGAGUUUUUUUAGUGAAGCUGCUCUUGCAAAUCAUACUGCUGCGUCAAUCCUUAAAUUUCAUAACCAAAUAUAUAAAGAACACUGUGUCUCCUAAUAGAGAUUCUAAUGCUGAUUUGAACAAUUUUGUUAUACCUCUAGACAACAGUCAUGCUACAGCUGCAACGGGCACUAUUAGGAUGUUCAUAUAUUUUCUGAAAGUGUUUCUGCUGCCUGAGGGUUUGGAGUUUUCGGAGAAGAAAAGUAAGUAGACAGGGAUAUGGGAAAAUCAUCAUGACUUGGAUGGUUUUUGAGAGAGUGCAUGGAAAUAACAUAAGUGGUCAGACUUCACCAGAGGUUGGGUCUUUUUUCCUCCCUAGGAGCCAAUGCAUCACACUACAAGUACAAGCUAUGAGUUUUUGUAGAUGUACCAAUUUGGUGGUCCAUUAUUUACAUGGUUGGUCCAACAAGAAGUAUAAGAUUAUUAUUUUCGCAACUAAUUUGGUUGUGUUACUUUAUUGGUAGAUAUACUUAGAUCUACCAUGUACAGAUAUUUUAUUCAAAUAAAUUUAAGUUAAACGAAAAUCUACUUAAUAGAGAAGUC